GGAAGAGAAAAUCGACGCACGCCGUAUUGUCAUCCAUAGAAUUCUAAACCGUACGAGCGUCUUUUAUCAAUUUUUUAUUUAUGCGAUGAUUGAUAAGGAUGAUCCAUAAUCCAUAAGUAUGCAUUUUAAGUAUGCGUUCAUUUGCACGGACUUAGCUUUGAAAACACGCUUUUAUGUAUUGUAGGGGACCACACCGGAGCGAAAAUUACCGACGAUAUUGCAGAAGUACAAUACCGCUGCGGGAAACUGCUGAUUGCUACAAUUUUACCGCCACCACGAAGAAAUAUAGGCAUACCUAUACAACUAUUCAGGUAGAUCCUAUUCAGAUUAAUAAGGGCCAAUAUCCUGAUCAACACGGGCCGAUUAAGAUAAACUUGAGGGAAUUGAACAUUUUAUCAUAUAGCCACUUAGCUAUAUACAGUGGUACAUCAAGAACAUAUGACGCCCAAGACUGAUAAAAAGUGGCGCCACUAGAUAUAAUAUGAUAUGUUAUGUCUACCAUUUCACAGUACAAAAAUUAAUAUGAUUACUAUUAUCAAAAUGGUAUAUUUUAUAAGUUUAAUAUCCUUUUAUACAAUAUUUCAUAUUUAAAUAAAAUUCAAAAAUUUUUUACUUGUUACUAAAUAUAAUAUUUAAAAUAUACAUGCAUAUAUUAAUGCAUGUAUUUUAAUAUUUUAAAAACGUAUUUCUCCAGUUUUUGUCGUAACCAACAUGUUUAUAGUAAUUGAUUUGUCGUGAAGUUAUGUACUCUAAUUUUCUAUAAGACAAAUUCAAACAUAAUAUAGUUAUAUAAUAGUAGUUUGUAAGUUCAUGUACAAUACAGUAUACAAUAAUUGAACUGUAACUAAAUGGUGAAUGUAUAGGUAAUAUUGUUUUUUUAUACAAUUAAAAAUAUAAAAUUUGGUAUUUUUAA
This is a long non-coding RNA of Acyrthosiphon pisum (pea aphid), 913 nucleotides long. RefSeq lists it as uncharacterized. The record is from RefSeq and is a predicted model, not a curated record. The transcript has 2 exons. Lineage: Eukaryota; Metazoa; Arthropoda; Insecta; Hemiptera; Aphididae.